GAUGAUGCAAAUUCCAAAGUUAUGGUAUAGUAGAGCGUAAGUUACUCAUGAUCUCAUUAAUGUAUAGCUUUACCUACUAUUGAAAAGCGCAGCCGGAAUUUAUUCCUCUCCCGCGCAUAUUCAACACAUAUUAUGUAUGCCAGAAUCCGACCCCAAAGAAUGCGGGAACUCAAAACACAAGGGUCAAACCAGAAAAUAACAAUCAGAAAGAAAUAGUCUAAUAAACAGCAGCACCCAUCUUUGGGGGGGUGGGGGAUAAGACAAAAGAAGAUGAAAUGGCAGUCGGAUGAUAUCUAACUGCAAGCUUCGCAAAAAUGGAAUAUAUCAAGACAUCAAACAAGUAGUUAGGGCAGAAACGAAAUAAAGGGAGGCCACGUACAGCAGCAUUCUUCGGCUCGACAAACAACGCUUUCGCCUGAGCCACAACAAGAGGCUCCUGCCCUUCAUCGGGUAGAGUCUCAAUCCUCCCUUCAACCCAUGCCUUGCGCCCUUCAACCUUCACCGUAUCAGCGCGCACAACGAAGAAUGACCCCGCAGGCGCCGGGCUGCGGUAGUCUAUGUUCAAAUUUGCAGUGACGCCAAUGCCAUUGGGUAAAGCAGAGAAGCAACACCUCGCGAGACAUUCGUCGAGAAUGGUAGCGAGGAGGCCGCCAUGGACAAUGCCCGGGUGGCCAGAAACGUCCGAACCCAGGUAUAGCAUCGCAACGAGGCUUUUCCCACCCGUCUCCGUCCAGGUGUAAGGGGGUACAGCGAUCUUAUUGGCGCCAGAGAGAGUUCCGGCAGUGAGGUUGUGGGCGCGCAAUUCCAGGGGAAUCUUAAGGUGGGGUCGCGAUUCGGUGAAGCGCUCAUCUGUUCGCAGAGAGCGAGCUAUGGGGUGAUUGUAGAUGAAGUCAUCGAUAUCCUGCAAGACUUCGUCGGGAGCUAUGUAUUCAGAUUCCUCGUCGGAGCGGAGUUGGUUGACGACCUGGACCAUGGUGGAUACAACGGGGCUUAGGGAGAUUCCAAGAGUGAAGGAGAAUAUUGCGAUUGCUGAGAAACCUAGGAAACGGCGGAAUAUGGAGGGCCUUUUGAAUGAAGUAUGGGAGGGAGGAGGAGGCAGAGGCUUAGGAGAAGAUGGGUGGACUGUCUGGACUGAAUAAGGUCUAUUUGAUGACGGGCUUGACGGCCGGGCUAUGAAAAAGGAGCGUGACAAGGAAGCGCCGGGAGAAGUGGAAAAAGAAGAAACAGAGACAGGGAAGGAUACGCGCUGCUUUGAGAUAAAGAAAAUGUGAUUGCCUGGGGAAAAAACAGGACGAGAGCGGAACGGAGCCAUAGUAAUUGAGCUGAAGAGAUGCUCCAGGGGACCGCGCAAGAACCAAUUUCUCAAAAUAGAUGGUGCAACGGUGCGCUGGUGGGCUCCACCACUUCCAUCGAAAUCAACCG
Molecule: small RNA, 1422 nt
Filed under: Histoplasma capsulatum var. duboisii H88
Lineage: Eukaryota; Fungi; Ascomycota; Eurotiomycetes; Onygenales; Ajellomycetaceae
Description: Histoplasma capsulatum H88 hypothetical RNA
Source: RNAcentral